UACGUAGGGCGCAAGCGUUGUCCGGAAUUAUUGGGCGUAAAGAGCUCGUAGGCGGUCUGUCGCGUCUGUUGUGAAAACUCGAGGCUCAACCUCGGGCUUGCAGUGGAUACGGGCAGACUAGAGUGCGGUAGGGGAGACUGGAAUUCCUGGUGUAGCGGUGGAAUGCGCAGAUAUCAGGAGGAACACCGAUGGCGAAGGCAGGUCUCUGGGCCGCAACUGACGCUGAGGAGCGAAAGCCAGGGGAGCAAACGGG
Molecule: ribosomal RNA, 253 nt
Filed under: uncultured bacterium
Lineage: Bacteria
Description: partial 16S ribosomal RNA
Rfam family: Bacterial small subunit ribosomal RNA
Source: RNAcentral